GUGGUGCGGUAUCCAGGACUUUUACUUUGAGGAAAUUAGAGUGUUUCAAGCAGGCAUACGCCUUGAAUACAUUAGCAUGGAAUAAUAAGAUAGGACCUCGGUUCUAUUUUGUUGGUUUCUAGAGCUGAGGUAAUGAUUAAUAGGGAUAGUUGGGGGUAUUCGUAUUCAAUUGUCAGAGGUGAAAUUCUUGGAUUU
RNAcentral lists this ribosomal RNA (195 nucleotides) under Heterosigma akashiwo. RNAcentral describes it as "partial Eukaryotic small subunit ribosomal RNA". It matches the Rfam family "Eukaryotic small subunit ribosomal RNA", at positions 737 to 927 of the family's 1831-position model. The record is from RNAcentral. Lineage: Eukaryota; Raphidophyceae; Chattonellales; Chattonellaceae.